AUUGAACGCUGGCGGUAUGCUUAACACAUGCAAGUCGAACGGUAACAGGCCUUCGGGCGCUGACGAGUGGCGGACGGGUGCGUAACGCGUAGGAAUCUGCCUGUUAGUGGGGGACAACGUGGGGAAACUCACGCUAAUACCGCAUACGCCCUACGGGGAAAGCGGGGGAGUCUUCGGACCUCGCGCUAACAGAUGAGCCUGCGUGGGAUUAGCUAGUUGGUAGGGUAAAGGCCUACCAAGGCGACGAUCCCUAGCUGGUCUGAGAGGACGAUCAGCCACACUGGGACUGAGACACGGCCCAGACUCCUACGGGAGGCAGCAGUGGGGAAUAUUGGACAAUGGGCGAAAGCCUGGUCCAGCAAUACCGCGUGUGUGAAGAAGG
Molecule: ribosomal RNA, 382 nt
Filed under: uncultured bacterium
Lineage: Bacteria
Description: bacterial SSU rRNA
Rfam family: Bacterial small subunit ribosomal RNA
Source: RNAcentral